UACGAAGGGUGCAAGCGUUACUCGGAAUUACUGGGCGUAAAGCGUGCGCAGGCGGUUUUGUAAGACAGAGGUGAAAUCCCCGGGCUCAACCUGGGAACUGCCUUUGUGACUGCAAGGCUUGAGUGCGGCAGAGGGGGAUGGAAUUCCACGUGUAGCAGUGAAAUGCGUAGAUAUGCGGAGGAACACCGAUGGCGAAGGCAAUCCCCUGGGCCUGCACUGACGCUCAUGCACGAAAGCGUGGGGAGCAAACAGG
RNAcentral lists this ribosomal RNA (253 nucleotides) under uncultured bacterium. Its description in RNAcentral is "partial 16S ribosomal RNA". It matches the Rfam family "Bacterial small subunit ribosomal RNA", at positions 524 to 776 of the family's 1533-position model. The record is from RNAcentral.